AAACUGCUUUGAGCAUAUGUCAUGCAUCAUAAGAUUAUAGUAGGAUGAUUGCAUUAGUUUCACGAAUAUGAUGCAUUGCAUAAUACGAUGUGUAUGAGGCUGUGGAUAGACCAAGGCGACUCCAAUAGCCCAAGCUCUGUUAUAAGAUCUGGCCGGGCCAGGCAGCCAUCUGUAGGUAAGACCUGACUAGAUCAGGCAGCAGAGAUAGUAAGACCUGGCCGGGCCAGGCAGACUGAGGGUGUAAGACCUGGCUAGGCCAGGCAUCCUUAUAGUGGGAUUUUUGGCGGUCAUGUCUAUCCCUGAGAUGAUGUGCUGUAGUGCAUCCCAUGAGAUCAUGUUUUUCAAAUAUGGUUUAUAGUUCUGC
RNAcentral lists this long non-coding RNA (364 nucleotides) under Manihot esculenta (cassava). Its description in RNAcentral is "long non-coding RNA (MESC_LNC007003)". Lineage: Eukaryota; Viridiplantae; Streptophyta; Magnoliopsida; Malpighiales; Euphorbiaceae. The record is from RNAcentral.